UGGGGAAUUUUGGACAAUGGGCGCAAGCCUGAUCCAGCCAUGCCGCGUGCGGGAAGAAGGCCUUCGGGUUGUAAACCGCUUUUGUCAGGGAAGAAAUCUUCUGAGUUAAUACCUCGGGAGGAUGACGGUACCUGAAGAAUAAGCACCGGCUAACUACGUGCCAGCAGCCGCGGUAAUACGUAGGGUGCAAGCGUUAAUCGGAAUUACUGGGCGUAAAGCGUGCGCAGGCGGUUUUGUAAGACAGAGGUGAAAUCCCCGGGCUCAACCUGGGAACUGCCUUUGUGACUGCAAGGCUUGAGUGCGGCAGAGGGGGAUGGAAUUCCGCGUGUAGCAGUGAAAUGCGUAGAUAUGCGGAGGAACACCGAUGGCGAAGGCGAUCCCCUGGGCCUGCACUGACGCUCAUGCACGAAAGCGUGGGGAGCAAACAGGAUUAGAUACCCUGGUAGUCCACGCCCUAAAACGAUGUCAACUGGUUGUUGGGAAGGUUCCUUCUCAGUAACGUAGCUAACGCGUGAAGUUGACCGCCGGGGGAGUACGGCCGCAAGGUUGGAACUUAAAGGAAAUUGACGGGGUCAUAGCUGUUUCCU
Molecule: ribosomal RNA, 587 nt
Filed under: uncultured bacterium
Lineage: Bacteria
Description: partial 16S ribosomal RNA
Rfam family: Bacterial small subunit ribosomal RNA
Source: RNAcentral